This 375-nucleotide ribosomal RNA is filed under the name uncultured eukaryote. RNAcentral's name for it is "partial 18S ribosomal RNA". It matches the Rfam family "Eukaryotic small subunit ribosomal RNA", at positions 592 to 976 of the family's 1831-position model. The record is from RNAcentral.
CAAUAGCGUAUAUCUAAGUUGUUGCAGUUAAAAAGCUCGUAGUUGGAUUUCGGUUAAGAGCGACCGGUCCGCCGUUUGGUGUGCACUGGUUGGUUUUAACUUCCUGUAGAGGACGUGCUCUGGGUUUAACGACCUGGACUCGGAGUCUACGUGGUUACUUUGAAAAAAUUAGAGUGUUCAAAGCGGGCUUACGCUUGAAUAUUUCAGCAUGGAAUAACACUAUAGGACUCCUGUCCUAUUUCGUUGGUCUCGGGACGGGAGUAAUGAUUAAGAGGAACAGUUGGGGGCAUUCGUAUUUCAUUGUCAGAGGUGAAAUUCUUGGAUUUAUGAAAGACGAACUUCUGCGAAAGCAUUUGCCAAGGAUGUUUUCAUUAA